UACGAAGGUGGCAAGCGUUGUUCGGAUUUACUGGGCGUACAGGGGCGUAGGCGGUUGGGUAAGCCCUUCGUGAAAUCUCCGGGCCUAACCCGGAAAGUGCGGAGGGGACUGCUCGGCUAGAGGAUGGGAGAGGAGCGCGGAAUUCCAGGUGUAGCGGUGAAAUGCGUAGAUAUCUGGAGGAACACCGGUGGCGAAGGCGGCAUUCUGGACUGUAACUGACACUGAGGAACGAAAGCCAGGGGAGCAAACGGG
This 252-nucleotide ribosomal RNA is filed under the name uncultured bacterium. RNAcentral describes it as "partial 16S ribosomal RNA". It matches the Rfam family "Bacterial small subunit ribosomal RNA", at positions 524 to 776 of the family's 1533-position model. The record is from RNAcentral.